This 301-nucleotide ribosomal RNA is filed under the name uncultured bacterium. Its description in RNAcentral is "partial 16S ribosomal RNA". It matches the Rfam family "Bacterial small subunit ribosomal RNA", at positions 509 to 807 of the family's 1533-position model. The record is from RNAcentral.
CAGUAGCCACGGUAAUACAGAGGGUGCGAGCGUUAAUCGGAUUUACUGGGCGUAAAGCGUGCGUAGGCGGCUUCUUAAGUCGGAUGUGAAAUCCCUGAGCUUAACUUAGGAAUUGCACUCGAUACUGGGAAGCUAGAGUAUGGGAGAGGAUGGUAGAAUUCCAGGUGUAGCGGUGAAAUGCGUAGAGAUCUGGAGGAAUACCGAUGGCGAAGGCAGCCAUCUGGCCUAAUACUGACGCUGAGGUACGAAAGCAUGGGGAGCAAACAGGAUUAGAUACCCCCGUAGUCCCUGUCUCUUAUAC